This 559-nucleotide ribosomal RNA is filed under the name Ogataea polymorpha. RNAcentral describes it as "eukaryotic LSU rRNA". It matches the Rfam family "Eukaryotic large subunit ribosomal RNA", at positions 73 to 654 of the family's 3401-position model. Lineage: Eukaryota; Fungi; Ascomycota; Pichiomycetes; Pichiales; Pichiaceae. The record is from RNAcentral.
AUGCCUUAGUAGCGGCGAGUGAAGCGGCAAGAGCUCAAAUUUGAAAUCUGGUACCUUCGGUGCCCGAGUUGUAAUUUGAAGAAAGCUAUCUUGGAGGUGGCCUUUGUCUAUGUUCCUUGGAACAGGACGUCAUGGAGGGUGAGAAUCCCGUGUGAUGAGGUGUCCAUUUCCGUGUAAGAUGCUUUCGAAGAGUCGAGUUGUUUGGGAAUGCAGCUCAAAGUGGGUGGUAAAUUCCAUCUAAAGCUAAAUAUUGGCGAGAGACCGAUAGCGAACAAGUACUGUGAAGGAAAGAUGAAAAGAACUUUGAAAAGAGAGUGAAAAAGUACGUGAAAUUGUUGAAAGGGAAGGGUAUUUGAUCAGACUUGGUAUUUAGCUAUCAUCGCUCCUUGUGGGUGGUGCUCUAGCUUUUUACUGGGCCAGCAUCAGUUUUGGUGGCAAGAUAAUGACAGUUGAAUGUGGCUCCUCGGAGUGUUAUAGCUUCUGUUGAUGUUGCCUACCGAGACUGAGGUCUGCGGCUUUUGCCUAGGAUGCUGGCGUAAUGAUCCAAUACCGCCCGUCU